GAUUAAGUUAUUAAGGGCGCACGGUGGAUGCCUUGGCACUAGAAGCCGAUGAAGGACGUUACUAACGACGAUAUGCUUUGGGGAGCUGUAAGU
RNAcentral lists this ribosomal RNA (93 nucleotides) under Staphylococcus aureus. Its description in RNAcentral is "partial 23S ribosomal RNA". It matches the Rfam family "Bacterial large subunit ribosomal RNA", at positions 1 to 93 of the family's 2925-position model. The record is from RNAcentral. Lineage: Bacteria; Bacillati; Bacillota; Bacilli; Caryophanales; Staphylococcaceae. RNAcentral also lists the same sequence under 1 other name.